This 1151-nucleotide ribosomal RNA is filed under the name uncultured bacterium. RNAcentral's name for it is "bacterial SSU rRNA". It matches the Rfam family "Bacterial small subunit ribosomal RNA", at positions 39 to 1181 of the family's 1533-position model. The record is from RNAcentral.
GCUACAGGCUUAACACAUGCAAGUCGAGGGGAAACGACAUCGAAAGCUUGCUUUUGAUGGGCGUCGACCGGCGCACGGGUGAGUAACGCGUAUCCAACCUGCCCACCACUUGGGGAUAACCUUGCGAAAGUAAGACUAAUACCCAAUGACGUCUCUAGAAGACAUCUGAAAGAGAUUAAAGAUUUAUCGGUGAUGGAUGGGGAUGCGUCUGAUUAGCUUGUUGGCGGGGUAACGGCCCACCAAGGCGACGAUCAGUAGGGGUUCUGAGAGGAAGGUCCCCCACAUUGGAACUGAGACACGGUCCAAACUCCUACGGGAGGCAGCAGUGAGGAAUAUUGGUCAAUGGACGAGAGUCUGAACCAGCCAAGUAGCGUGCAGGAUGACGGCCCUAUGGGUUGUAAACUGCUUUUAUAAGGGAAUAAAGUGAGUCUCGUGAGACUUUUUGCAUGUACCUUAUGAAUAAGGACCGGCUAAUUCCGUGCCAGCAGCCGCGGUAAUACGGAAGGUCCGGGCGUUAUCCGGAUUUAUUGGGUUUAAAGGGAGCGUAGGCCGGAGAUUAAGCGUGUUGUGAAAUGUAGACGCUCAACGUCUGCACUGCAGCGCGAACUGGUUUCCUUGAGUACGCACAAAGUGGGCGGAAUUCGUGGUGUAGCGGUGAAAUGCUUAGAUAUCACGAAGAACUCCGAUUGCGAAGGCAGCUCACUGGAGCGCAACUGACGCUGAAGCUCGAAAGUGCGGGUAUCGAACAGGAUUAGAUACCCUGGUAGUCCGCACGGUAAGCGAUGGAUGCCCGCUGUUGGUCAGAAUAGGUCAGCGGCCAAGCGAAAGCAUUAAGCAUCCCACCUGGGGAGUACGCCGGCAACGGUGAAACUCAAAGGAAUUGACGGGGGCCCGCACAAGCGGAGGAACAUGUGGUUUAAUUCGAUGAUACGCGAGGAACCUUACCCGGGCUUGAAUUGCAGAGGAAGGAUUUGGAGACAAUGACGCCCUUCGGGGCCUCUGUGAAGGUGCUGCAUGGUUGUCGUCAGCUCGUGCCGUGAGGUGUCGGCUUAAGUGCCAUAACGAGCGCAACCCCUCUCCUUAGUUGCCAUCAGGUCAAGCUGGGCACUCUGGGGACACUGCCACCGUAAGGUGUGAGGAAGGUGGGGAUG